CCUACGGGAGGCAGCAGUGAGGAAUAUUGGUCAAUGGACGAGAGUCUGAACCAGCCAAGUAGCGUGAAGGAUGACUGCCCUAUGGGUUGUAAACUUCUUUUAUAUGGGAAUAAAAUGUUCCACGUGUGCGUUUUUGUAUGUACCAUAUGAAUAAGGAUCGGCUAACUCCGUGCCAGCAGCCGCGGUAAUACGGAGGAUCCGAGCGUUAUCCGGAUUUAUUGGGUUUAAAGGGAGCGUAGGUGGUUUGUUAAGUCAGUUGUGAAAGUUUGCGGCUCAACCGUAAAAUUGCAGUUGAAACUGGCAGUCUUGAGUACAGUAGAGGUGGGCGGAAUUCGUGGUGUAGCGGUGAAAUGCUUAGAUAUCACGAAGAACUCCGAUUGCGAAGGCAGCUCACUAGACUGCAACUGACACUGAGGCUCGAAAGUGUGGGUAUCAAACAGGAUUAGAUACCCUUGUAGUC
RNAcentral lists this ribosomal RNA (460 nucleotides) under uncultured bacterium. Its description in RNAcentral is "partial 16S ribosomal RNA". It matches the Rfam family "Bacterial small subunit ribosomal RNA", at positions 338 to 795 of the family's 1533-position model. The record is from RNAcentral.